This is a non-coding RNA of Leptonychotes weddellii (Weddell seal), 1097 nucleotides long. The record is from RefSeq and is a predicted model, not a curated record. NCBI's taxonomy places the organism in Eukaryota, Metazoa, Chordata, Mammalia, Carnivora, Phocidae.
UUCACCUUAGGGCCGCCGGGGAUCCCUUACGCCUUGCCACAGGCUUUGGAAUGGGCUGUGUGUUUGCAAGCCCACCAGGCUGGACCAGACGGCUCGGAGCUUGCUGCGGGUUUGCUGCCGACGACCUGGGCCUGGGGUCCGCUUGGCCCCCGCCUCUGUCAUGAGUGCUCCAACUGACCGGGGAAGGGGCUGGAGCGCUGAAUUGGGCAGCCUUUCCUGGACUUCCCUGGGUGUUCUCGAAGGCAGUGAGAGUAAGGAAGCGGGUUUUUAGAUGAUGUUCUCGGCUAGAGGACAUCAGGUUGCAGUAGGUGUUGCUACGGGGGGAGGGUGUUGUGCUUGACCCCCAGCCUCAGAGUAACUCAGCUGGGACAUGGAGCAGAAGGUCUUUUUGUGAACGUGUUCCACAGAGAGAAGAAUGAAAAAAAAUAAUUUUAAACGUGAAAUGCUUACUCUUGAAGUUAGGAAUUUCGAUUCCGUGUUUUGUAAAGGCAAGCCCUGAAGAACGAGAGCCAGGAGUGUCUCUGGAACUGUAAUGACUUCAUAUGUGCAGAACUAGGCCUGAAACGGUUCACUUGAUGAUGCUUAUUUUCUCUCUCUUUAGAUUUUGUGGUGGAUGCAACCCGCAAGGGUAACAAAAUCCGUUUUGCAAAUCAUUCAGUAAAUCCAAACUGCUAUGCAAAAGUUAUGAUGGUGAACGGCGAUCACAGGAUAGGGAUUUUUGCUAAGAGAGCCAUCCAGACGGGUGAAGAGCUGUUUUUUGAUUACAGAUACAGCCAGGCUGACGCCCUCAAGUACGUGGGCAUCGAAAGAGAAAUGGAAAUCCCUUGACGUCUGCUACCUCCUCCUUCCCCUCCUCCUUUCUGGAACAGCUGCCUUAGCUUCAGGAACCUCGAGUACUGUGGGCAAUUUAGAGAAAUAAAAUGCAGUUUGAAAUUCUGAAUUUGCAAAGUACUGUAAGAAUAAUUUAUAGUAAUGAGUUUAAAAAUCAACUUUUUAUUGCCUUCUCACCAGCUGCAGAGUGUUUUGUACCAGUGAAUUUUUGCAAUAAUGCAGUAUGGUACAUUUUUCAACUUUGAAUAAAGAAUACUUGAACUUCC